CCCAGAGGCCCUUAUGGGCAUUUCCUCCCUGACUUAGGCCACCCUCCUCCGGGGUGGCUUCUUUUUUUCGGCUCC
RNAcentral lists this small RNA (75 nucleotides) under Bradyrhizobium arachidis. RNAcentral's name for it is "suhB". It matches the Rfam family "Makes More Granules Regulator RNA (mmgR)". From Rfam's summary of the family: SuhB later renamed mmgR (makes more granules regulator) was a putative non-coding RNA found multiple times in the Agrobacterium tumefaciens genome and related alpha-proteobacteria. Other non-coding RNAs uncovered in the same analysis include: speF, ybhL, metA, and serC. Lineage: Bacteria; Pseudomonadati; Pseudomonadota; Alphaproteobacteria; Hyphomicrobiales; Nitrobacteraceae. The record is from RNAcentral.